AUGGACGCCGAUCGCCGUGGGGGCUUAAGGACGCCGAUCUUUGCGGACGAUGAGGCCCAGGCGUCUGGUUCGGAAGCUCGGGAGCAUGAGGUGCACAAGGCGGCCGGUCACUGCUCUGAUAAGGCGCUCAAAGUCAUCUUGUGCCUGCAGUUCCUGGAGGUCAGUGCUUUCUACGGGGUCUACCUGAACUUGAUAGUCUAUCUUCAGGAUGUUCUCCAUGGAGACAGCGCAUCCAAUGUGACGGCCGUGAAUUCUUGGGCUGGGGUCAGCUACCUCAUGCCCCUGCUCGGCGCCGCCGUCGCCGACUCCUACUGGGGAAAACACAAGACGGUUUUGAUCGGCCUCUCCAUUUCUGUCGUCGGGAUGGCCAUGGUCACCACGUCAGCUACGCUGCCAUCUCUGAGGCCGCCGCGGUGCUCGCCGGGCGCGUACUGCGCACCGGCGACGCUUAGCCAAGAGCUAGUCUUCUUUUCGGGCAUAUACCUGUGCGGCGUCGGGAUCGGCGCGUCCAAGGCCGUCUUCAUCUCGUUUGCCGCGGAGCAGUUCGACGACGACGAUGACAAGAACACGUCGGGACGGGAGGCCAAGGCGUCCUACUUCAGCUGGUACUACGCGGUGGCCAACGUGGCCAUGCUGACCGCGGGGACAUUGCUGGUUUGGGUAGAGGACAAGGUGAACUGGGGGCUCGGGUACGGCAUCUGCGCGUCGUUCGUCGUGGUCGCCGUCGUCGGCCUCGCCGCGACGGCGCCCAUGUACCGGCUCGUGCCUCCGGCGGGCAGCCCGAUUAAAGGCGUGCUCCAAGUGCUCGUCGCGCUCUCUCGCAAGGUAAACCUGGCGGUGCCUGACGACGCCACUGAAUUGUACGAGGAGGAUGGUGUCAAGAACCCGUUGCUGCAUCCGCUGCACGAACGAUUGCAGCACACCGAACAGUUCAGGUGCUUGGACAAGGCUGCCAUUGUCACGGCCGAGGACUUGGAAGACGGCGACCUGAACCGGCCAUGGAGGCUGUGCACGGUCACCCAGGUGGAGGAGCUCAAGACUCUGCUGCGGCUGAUCCCGAUAUGGCUCACCUCGGCCGUCUACUUCGUCGCCAACACGCAGGCGCAGACCACGUUCGUGCAGCAGGGCACCAAGACGGACUCCCACAUCGCGGGCGGCGCCGCCUCCGUCCCGGCCGCGUCGCUGACGUCCAUCGAGACGGUGCUCGCCGCCGCCUACGUCACGUUCUACAACAGGGCCGUCGCGCCAUCCGUGGCGUUCACGCCGCUCCAGCUCAUGGGGCUCGGGCACGCGACGGCGGCCGGCGCGGUGGCCGUGGCCGCGUGCACCGAGGCGUGCAGGCUGCGGAUGGCCGGGGGCCAGGAGGCGGCCCAAAUGGGCAUAGCGUGGCUGCUGCCGCAGUACGCCGUGAUGGCGGUCUCGGACGCGUCGCUCUCAGUGGGGCAGAUGCAGUUCUUCUACGACCAGUCGCCGGAGACGAUGAGGGGCGCGUCGACGGCGUUCUACUUCCUGUCCAUCUCGCUCGGGAAUCUGAUCAAUUCUCAGCUGGUGACGCUGGUGGCGUCCGUCACCUCGGCUGGGGGCAGAACGGGAUGGUUUCCACCGGAAAUGGAUGAUGGGCGCCUAGAUUACUACUUCGUGCUCGUUGUCGCCAUCACUUUGCUCAACUUUGCCGUGUUUGUUGCCCUUGCUAAGAACUACACGUCAAAGAGAGUUAGAUAG
This 1722-nucleotide ribosomal RNA is filed under the name Triticum aestivum (bread wheat). Its description in RNAcentral is "partial small subunit ribosomal RNA". The record is from RNAcentral. Lineage: Eukaryota; Viridiplantae; Streptophyta; Magnoliopsida; Poales; Poaceae.